Molecule: ribosomal RNA, 102 nt
Filed under: Stegodyphus mimosarum
Lineage: Eukaryota; Metazoa; Arthropoda; Arachnida; Araneae; Eresidae
Description: eukaryotic small subunit ribosomal RNA
Source: RNAcentral
AUUGAAGGAAUCAGUGUGAGCUGUCCCAGUCCAGAAGGAGUGGAUAACCCAUUGAACCUCCUUCAUGCCUGGGAUAAGGACUUGUAAUUGUUUCCCUUCAAC